This 253-nucleotide ribosomal RNA is filed under the name uncultured bacterium. Its description in RNAcentral is "partial 16S ribosomal RNA". It matches the Rfam family "Bacterial small subunit ribosomal RNA", at positions 524 to 776 of the family's 1533-position model. The record is from RNAcentral.
UACGAGGGGGGCGAGCGUUGUUCGGAAUUAUUGGGCGUAAAGGGUGCGUAGGCGGUUCCGCAAGUCCUGUGUGAAAUCUUCGGGCUCAACUCGAAGUCUGCACGGGAAACUGCGGGGCUUGAGUGUGGGAGAGGUGAGUGGAAUUCCCGGUGUAGCGGUGAAAUGCGUAGAUAUUGGAAAGACCACCAAUGGCGAAGGCACUCUACUGGGCCAUUACUGACACUGAGAGACGAAAGCUAGGGGAGCGAAUGGG